ACGCUGGCGGCGUGCUUAACACAUGCAAGUCGCACGAGAACGCUUCAGCUUGCUGAAGCUAGUAAAGUGGCGCACGGGUGAGUAACGCGUGGGUAAUCUACCUCCAAAUUGGGGAUAACAUUGCGAAAGCGAUGCUAAUACCGAAUGAUAUCUCAAAAACUUCGGUUUUUGAGAUCAAAGGUGGCCGCUCCUUGGAAGCUACUGUCGGGAGAUGAGCCCGCGUACCAUUAGCUUGUUGGUAGGGUAAUGGCCUACCAAGGCAACGAUGGUUAGCUGGUCUGAGAGGAUGAUCAGCCACACUGGAACUGACACACGGUCCAGACUCCUACGGGAGGCAGCAGUGAGGAAUUUUGCGCAAUGGGGGAAACCCUGACGCAGCAACGCCGCGUGAGUGAUGAAGGCCUUCGGGUCGUAAAGCUCUGUCAAGUGGGAAGAACUUGCCCUGUGCUAAUAUCACCGGGCACUGACGGUACCACUGAAGGAAGCACCGGCUAACUCCGUGCCAGCAGCCGCGGUAACACGGGGGGUGCAAGCGUUAUUCGGAAUCACUGGGCGUAAAGAGCGCGUAGGCGGUCUCUUAAGUCAGAUGUGAAAGCCCGGGGCUCAACCCCGGAAGUGCAUUUGAAACGAAGGGACUUGAGUAUGGGAGAGGGAAGUGGAAUUCCUGGUGUAGCGGUGAAAUGCGUAGAUAUCAGGAGGAACACCGGUGGCGAUGGCGACUUCCUGGACCAAUACUGACGCUGAGGCGCGAAGGCGUGGGGAGCAAACAGGAUUAGAUACCCUGGUAGUCCACGCAGUAAACGUUGAACACUAGGUGUAGCGGGUAUUGACC
RNAcentral lists this ribosomal RNA (832 nucleotides) under uncultured bacterium. RNAcentral describes it as "bacterial SSU rRNA". It matches the Rfam family "Bacterial small subunit ribosomal RNA", at positions 33 to 837 of the family's 1533-position model. The record is from RNAcentral.